AAACCAGCACCUCAAGUGGUCAGGAUGAUUAUUGGGCCUAAAGCAUCCGUAGCCGGCUCUGUAAGUUUUCGGUUAAAUCUGUAUGCUCAACAUACAGGCUGCCGGGAAUACUGCAGGGCUAGGGAGUGGGACAAGUAGACGGUACUCGGGAGGAAGUGGUAAAAUGCUUUGAUCUCUCGAUGACCACCUGUGGCGAAGGCGGUCUACCAGAACAUGUCCGACGGUGAGGGAUGAAAGCUGGGGGAGCAAACCGGAUUAGAAACCCCAGUAGUCC
Molecule: ribosomal RNA, 274 nt
Filed under: uncultured bacterium
Lineage: Bacteria
Description: partial 16S ribosomal RNA
Rfam family: Archaeal small subunit ribosomal RNA
Source: RNAcentral